Molecule: long non-coding RNA, 381 nt
Organism: Brienomyrus brachyistius
Lineage: Eukaryota; Metazoa; Chordata; Actinopteri; Osteoglossiformes; Mormyridae
Exons: 3
Source: RefSeq, a predicted model, not a curated record
UAGGCUCUGGAACCAGUCUCCUUGAAGGGGGUUGGACCCUCUUCCACUCUGGAGGGAGAAGACAUUUACACACAGAAGACAAGAAGUUGUGAUACACCCUUGAUUGCUGAUUUCAAAAGCAGAUCGCCGGCUCUCUUCUGUUUCCGUGAGCUAACUGCUGAAUUUAAGAGGAUCACAACAGUGAGUUGUUCUAUGAGCGGGAUGCUCAGUCUUCAACCCUGAUGAGGGUGUUUGGCAAGAAAGGCGGUGUUCAAGGAAGAAAGAUUAGAAGCAUUAUGAUACUCAUAACCCAGACCGAUGUCAUUGAUGUCAGGAGAGAGUGCAUCAUCAAAGCCCUCUGUGUACCUGAACGAAGAGCCUGAGAACACCGUGAAAGAAUAC